Molecule: long non-coding RNA, 916 nt
Organism: Magnolia sinica
Lineage: Eukaryota; Viridiplantae; Streptophyta; Magnoliopsida; Magnoliales; Magnoliaceae
Exons: 3
Source: RefSeq, a predicted model, not a curated record
UUGUGUGAUGGUAUUGAGCUCCUUUCCUUCUACGCAAACUGUCUUAUAUAUGCUAAUGGACUUUGUUCAAUGAAUAUAUGUGAUGUAUUUUACAAGGAAUUGUUGAUGUUGUGAUGUAGUAUUUAUGGCAAUUUAAGGAACACAAUGUCAUGGAGUUCCUGGUUCUUGCUGGAGAUCAUUUAUAUCGUAUGGAUUAUGAGAGGUUCAUUCAAGCACAAAGAAACUGACACAAAUAUCACUAUGGUUGCAUUACCAAUGGAUGAAAAACAUGCAACUGCAUUUGUUCUGGUGAAAGGAAUGUUAAUUCAAAUGGUGCAGGACUGGUUUUUCUUCUGAAGGGUCUGCUUACAUAUAUUUUUUUGCAGAUUUGGGAGAACUAUGUUGAAGGACAGGAAGUUACAAAUGGUUCAUCUGUUGUUGAAAGUAAACAAAAGGAAGUACUUUUGGUGGUGGUAGCUGAAGUACUUGGAGAUGGCAAGUUCUACAUCCAAACAGUCGGCAACCAGAAAGUGGCUGCUAUUCAAAAGCAGUUAGCUUUGUUGAACUUUCAAGAAGCCCCUGUUGUGGGUGCUUUUAAUCCUAAGGGCCAAUACUACAAAGCAUGCCUUUAUGCUGGAAUUAACAUUAGUUGGAUCAAUGGUGAAGUUAUGUCUGGCCAGGUAGUAAUCUCUUGCUUGUAUUCUCUCUUUUGGUUUAGCUUAAAUUCUGAUGCAGUCCAUGUGAGCCCCACUUAUCUUGAGGACCAAGAUUGGGAGGAAGUGCCAAGCACUGUCAUCUCUAUUCUGGUUUAGCUUAAAAUCUUUAUUUGUAAAUUUGUAUCCAUAUGCAUUGUCGGAGAAACUAAAAAACUUACUCAUUCUCAUAUUGCAUUGUGGAAUAUGCAUCCAUUAUUCAACGAAAGGGCGACAUUCUAAGC